Molecule: long non-coding RNA, 2276 nt
Organism: Gasterosteus aculeatus aculeatus (three-spined stickleback)
Lineage: Eukaryota; Metazoa; Chordata; Actinopteri; Perciformes; Gasterosteidae
Source: Ensembl
UAAACCAGGGGUCUCAAACUCGCGGCCCGCGGGCCAAUUGCGGCCCUCGGGACGAUAUUUUGUGGCCCCAUCCUUAAUAUGAAAGUGUAAUGUUAGUGCGGCCCGCAAGUUUUAUACUGUAACCCCACUGUCAGCUGCUGUGUGGGACAUGUUAUGAUGUUCUGGUUUCCUACUGUGUGCUUGUCCAGUGAACGUGGCAUGCGUGUGACUGACAUGGGGGGCGGGUCGUGUGUGUCGGCCGAGGUGCAGAGAGCAGGAGGGUGAAAUUCAGUUUCCUGCCCUCUUUCGCGCAGGUGAUCAUGUGACUAACCGUUAGCAUCGCUCGUUUAAUAAAGUUUUCCUUUACGACUCACACUAACGACACAUGAAGCAUCUGACGUCACCGACGAGCGUCUCCGUCCAUUACUACGCAGCUUCGAUUCACGUAACUUCACGUUUGGCUAUAAAGGAAUUCCACGGUCACAUGACCUUAGGUCUCCCCCGCUGAGUUAAAGGAGGACUAGUGUUGUAGUCUCAUUCGGACCGAUCCCCCAGGGUGGGGUUCAAUGACUGCUUUUGAAAGUGAGUGUUAAGUUGUGUUAUUGUCGACCAUGCCGUUCGGACGCUAGUCCGGCCCGCGUUCGGUUGAAGUGGGCUGCAUCUGGCCCGCAGCUGAUUUGAGUUUGAGACCCCUGGUUUAGAGGGUACCGGCACUGUAACGUGGUUCAGAGGAGCGCUCACUUUAAUCACCUUUAAACCUCAGACUCCUGUUGUUGCCAUAGAAACUAAUGUGUUGUGUCACAACAAUCAGUGGAUGUAAUCAUAAGACAACAUGUGCGUGUUCAGGUUAAUGAUGUGUGGCUCGCUGGUUCGUUGAAGGUGUGAUAACUGCAGAGCUGUGUGUUUGAUUCCAGGAGCCAAAGAGCGAGAGGAGAUCUACGAGGCGUUUGAAAACAUUUACCCGAUCCUGAGAGGCUUCAGGAAACAGUGACAUCACUUCCUGUUUAUCUGUUGGAUGGUGAACGUUGGUGAGCCGCCAUUGUCAGGUCUCUCAGAGAUGUUCUGAAGCCACUCGUUGACAUUGUGGAACCUUCUCCCGUCUCCCUACUGCGUCUCUGGAGCUCAGCCACAGUGAUCUUUGGGUUCUUCUUCACCGCUCCACCUCACCAAGGCUCUUCUCCCACGAUUGCUCAGUUUGACUGGACGUCUCAGGUCUAGGAAGAGUUCUUCUUCCAUUAAAGGGUCAUGGAGGCCACUGUUCUGAGGAACCUUGAGUGCUGCAGAAAUUCUUUUGUUACCUUGGGCAGAUCUGUGCUGUGCCACGAUUCUGUCUGAGCUCCUUGGACAGUUCCUUCCAUCAGAAGUUCUCAGUUAGAGUCUGACAGACGUCUCUCAGUGGAUCCGCCCACCAUCUGAAAAUCAACCCCGACAAACUGAACUACUUCUCUUUCUGGGGAAAGAUUCUCCUUCACAGGACCUGACUGUUAACUUUGGCGACUCUGUCUUAACGUCCACUUUGACUGCAGGAACCUCGGCGUGACGUCGACAGCCGACUCUCCCUGACUCCAACAUCACUGACAACACCAUCCUGUAGAUACUCGCUCUACAACAUCAGGAGAACACGUCCUCUUCUCACUCAGAAGGUACUGAUUCAGGCUCUUAUCGUCUCCCUCCUGGACUACUGUAACUGUCUCCUGCAGGUCUCCUGCUACCACCAUUCAGCCUCUGCAGCUCAUCCAGAAUGCAGCAGCUCCACUGGUCUUUAACCUUCCUAAGUUCUCCCUCACUCCUCCACUCCUCCGCUCUCUCCACUGGUACCGGUGGCUCAUCCAGUUCUAAACAUGGUGCUCACGUACCAGGCUGUGAAUGGAUGGGGUCCAGCUUACAUCCAGGACCUGGUCCAACCCGACAUCCCGACCCGCACUCUCCGCUCUGCAUGUGAUAAAGUGCUUGUUCCUCCUCACUGAGAGCAAAACACUCGACUAGAUCUCCACUCUUUGCUGUCCUGCUCCUAAAUGGUGGAAGGAGGUCUCUGAAGACAUCAGGACCACAGAGAGCCUUCACAUCUUCAGACUAAAGACACACCUCUUCAGACUCUACCUCCACUAACACACUAUCUAACUGUAGCACUUACAUUGGACUUAUAAUGGUUCUUAUCUACAGCAAGUUGGACAUCGGCUUGUUUGAGGAAAUCACACUUUCUUGUUCUUCUGAGUUUGUGUCCUUGUGGUUGAUGCACUUAUGGAGUCGCUUUGGAUAAAAGCGUCAGAUAACUGGCAUGUUAUGUAAUGUAGACU